Molecule: long non-coding RNA, 307 nt
Organism: Gallus gallus (chicken)
Lineage: Eukaryota; Metazoa; Chordata; Aves; Galliformes; Phasianidae
Source: Ensembl
GUCUGCACAUGCUGAGCACGGGUUGAGGGCCGCUCUGUCCCCCUGCGGUUGGUCCUCACAGUAUGCUGGCUGCCACGGGGACUUGUAAUUCAAAUCCAUGACGUUCUCAAAGACUCAAAGGCGGAAAAUGUCAUGACAAAAAAUCAAAGGCUGUCCACUGUACUUCAUGUGUGAGUUGUCUCCUAACUUCCCUGCAAGAGCACUGAUGUUGCAGGUUUCCUUAGAACAUCAGGAGUGGGUCUUGGUUUGCUCCUAUACACAACCAAAAUAUCCAAUUGCUUAUGGCAGCAAGUUGGAAGGAAGAGAG